UAAGGAGGAUGCGAGCGUUAUCCGGAUUUAUUGGGUUUAAAGGGUGCGUAGGCGGAAUAUCAAGUCAGCGGUCAAAGCCCGGGGCUCAACCCCGGCCCGCCGUUGAAACUGGCAGUCUCGGGUUGGAGAGAAGUAUGCGGAAUGCGCGGUGUAGCGGUGAAAUGCAUAGAUAUCGCGCAGAACUCCGAUUGCGAAGGCAGCAUGCCGGCUCCACACUGACGCUGAGGCACGAAAGUGCGGGUAUCGAACAGG
This 252-nucleotide ribosomal RNA is filed under the name uncultured Bacteroidales bacterium. Its description in RNAcentral is "partial 16S ribosomal RNA". It matches the Rfam family "Bacterial small subunit ribosomal RNA", at positions 524 to 776 of the family's 1533-position model. The record is from RNAcentral. Lineage: Bacteria; Pseudomonadati; Bacteroidota; Bacteroidia; Bacteroidales.